UCCGGUUUGUCACCGGCAGUCUCGCAUGAGUCCCCAACUGAAUGCUGGCAACAUGCGACGGGGGUUGCGCUCGUUGCGGGACUUAACCCAACAUCUCACGACACGAGCUGACGACAGCCAUGCACCACCUGUGAAGGUGUCCCGAAGGAACCCCGUGUUUCCACGGGUGGCACCUACAUGUCAAGCCCAGGUAAGGUUCUUCGCGUUGCGUCGAAUUGAACCACAUGCUCCGCUGCUUGUGCGGGUCCCCGUCAAUUCCUUUGAGUUUUAGCCUUGCGGCCGUACUCCCCAGGCGGGGCGCUUAAUGCGUUAGCUACGGCACGGAUCCCGUGGAAGGAAACCCACACCUAGCGCCCACCGUUUACGGCGUGGACUAC
RNAcentral lists this unclassified non-coding RNA (377 nucleotides) under uncultured Actinomycetes bacterium. RNAcentral's name for it is "uncultured actinobacterium contains 16S-23S intergenic spacer region". Lineage: Bacteria; Bacillati; Actinomycetota; Actinomycetes. The record is from RNAcentral.